GAUGAAGAACGCAGCAAAAUGCGAUAAGUAAUGUGAAUUGCAGAAUUCAGUGAAUCAUCGAAUCUUUGAACGCACAUUGCGCCCGCCAGUAUUCUGGCGGGCAUGCCUGUUCGAGCGUCAUUUCAACCCUCAAGCACAGCUUGGUGUUGGGACUCGCGUUAAUUCGCGUUCCCCAAAUUGAUUGGCGGUCACGUCGAGCUUCCAUAGCGUAGUAGUAAAACCCUCGUUACUGGUAAUCAUCGCGGCCACGCCGUUAAACCCCAACUUCUGAAUGUUGACCUCGGAUCAGGUAGGAAUACCCGCUGAACUUAAGCAUAUCAAUAAGCGGAGGA
RNAcentral lists this unclassified non-coding RNA (332 nucleotides) under soil metagenome. RNAcentral's name for it is "partial contains 5.8S ribosomal RNA, internal transcribed spacer 2, and large subunit ribosomal RNA". The stretch from base 1 to 120 matches the Rfam family "5.8S ribosomal RNA", at positions 35 to 154 of the family's 154-position model. The record is from RNAcentral.